GUGUCAGCCGCCGCGGUAAGACGAACCGUGCGAACGUUGUUCGGAAUCACUGGGCUUAAAGGGCGCGUAGGCGGGUCGAAAAGUCCGCGGUGAAAUCCCCCCGCUCAACGGGGGAACGGCCGCGGAUACUGUCGGCCUCGAGGGGGGUAGGGGCACCUGGAACGCUGGGUGGAGCGGUGAAAUGCGUUGAUAUCCAGCGGAACUCCGGUGGCGAAGGCGAGGUGCUGGACCCCUUCUGACGCUGAGGCGCGAAAGCCAGGGGAGCGAACGGGAUUAGAUACCCUGGUAGUCC
RNAcentral lists this ribosomal RNA (292 nucleotides) under uncultured bacterium. Its description in RNAcentral is "partial 16S ribosomal RNA". It matches the Rfam family "Bacterial small subunit ribosomal RNA", at positions 505 to 796 of the family's 1533-position model. The record is from RNAcentral.